This 119-nucleotide ribosomal RNA is filed under the name Pteropus alecto (black flying fox). Lineage: Eukaryota; Metazoa; Chordata; Mammalia; Chiroptera; Pteropodidae. The record is from RNAcentral.
GUCUAUGUCUAUGCUACCCUGAACAAGCCCGAUCCCGUCUCAUCUCGGAAGCUAAGCAGGGUCAGGCCUGUUUAGUACUUGGAUGGGAGACCACCUAGUAAAACCAGGUGCUAUAGGCA